AGAGUUUGAUCAUGGCUCAGGAUGAACGCUAGCGGCAGGCCUAAUACAUGCAAGUCGAGGGGCAGCAUAGUAGCAAUACUGAUGGCGACCGGCGCACGGGUGCGUAACGCGUAUGCAACCUACCUUUUACAGGGGUAUAGCCCGGAGAAAUCCGGAUUAACACCGCAUAAUAUAUUGAGAUGGCAUCAUGUUGAUAUUAAAUAUUUAUAGGUAAAAGAUGGGCAUGCGUCCAAUUAGCUAGUUGGUAGUGUAACGGACUACCAAGGCGAUGAUUGGUAGGGGUUCUGAGAGGAAGGUCCCCCACACUGGUACUGAGAUACGGACCAGACUCCUACGGGAGGCAGCAGUAGGGAAUAUUGGGCAAUGGAGGAGGCUCUGACCCAGCCAUGCCGCGUGCAGGAAGAAGGCCUUCUGGGUUGUAAACUGCUUUUGAUCGGGAACAAAAAGUCCAUGCGUGGAAGAUUGAGUGUACCGAUAGAAUAAGCACCGGCUAACUCCGUGCCAGCAGCCGCGGUAAUACGGAGGGUGCAAGCGUUGUCCGGAUUUAUUGGGUUUAAAGGGUGCGUAGGCGGCCGUAUAAGUCAGUGGUGAAAUACUUGAGCUUAACUUAAGCAUUGCCAUUGAUACUGUAUGGCUUGAGUACAGAUGAGGUAGGCGGAAUUGAUGGUGUAGCGGUGAAAUGCAUAGAUACCAUCAAGAACACCGAUUGCGAAGGCAGCUUACUAAGCUGUAACUGACGCUGAGGCACGAAAGCGUGGGGAUCGAACAGGAUUAGAUACCCUAGUAGUCC
This 790-nucleotide ribosomal RNA is filed under the name uncultured bacterium. RNAcentral describes it as "bacterial SSU rRNA". It matches the Rfam family "Bacterial small subunit ribosomal RNA", at positions 8 to 796 of the family's 1533-position model. The record is from RNAcentral.